GACAAACGCUGGCGGCAUGCCUAACACAUGCAAGUCGAACGGACAGAACAGGGAAGCUUUUCGGAGUGGAACUGGAAAGUUAGUGGCGGAUGGGUGAGUAACGCGUGGACAACCUACCUUGUAAAGGGGAAUAACCUCGAGAAAUCGAAGCUAAUACCCCAUAAUAACCUUGCUUCGCAUGAAGUAAGGAGGAAAGGCGGCCUUAGCGCUGUCGAUACAAGAUGGGUCCGCGUCUGAUUAGCUAGUUGGUGAGGUAAAGGCUCACCAAGGCGACGAUCAGUAGCCGGCCUGAUAGGGUGAACGGCCACAUUGGGACUGAGACACGGCCCAAACUCCUACGGGAGGCAGCAGUGGGGAAUCUUCCGCAAUGGGCGAAAGCCUGACGGAGCAAUGCCGCGUGAGUGAAGAAGGCCUUCGGGUUGUAAAACUCUGUCCUUAUCGAAGAGAGAGUGUUGUAGUAACUGACAAUACUAGGACGGUAGAUGAGGAGGAAGCCCCGGCUAACUAUGUG
This 511-nucleotide ribosomal RNA is filed under the name uncultured bacterium. RNAcentral describes it as "partial 16S ribosomal RNA". It matches the Rfam family "Bacterial small subunit ribosomal RNA", at positions 28 to 507 of the family's 1533-position model. The record is from RNAcentral.